RNAcentral lists this ribosomal RNA (440 nucleotides) under Serratia rubidaea. RNAcentral describes it as "bacterial SSU rRNA". It matches the Rfam family "Bacterial small subunit ribosomal RNA", at positions 44 to 476 of the family's 1533-position model. The record is from RNAcentral. Lineage: Bacteria; Pseudomonadati; Pseudomonadota; Gammaproteobacteria; Enterobacterales; Yersiniaceae.
AGGCCUUAACACAUGCAAGUCGAGCGGCAGCGGGAGGAAGCUUGCUUCCUCGCCGGCGAGCGGCGGACGGGUGAGUAAUGUCUGGGGAUCUGCCCGAUGGAGGGGGAUAACCACUGGAAACGGUGGCUAAUACCGCAUAACGUCGCAAGACCAAAGUGGGGGACCUUCGGGCCUCACACCAUCGGAUGAACCCAGAUGGGAUUAGCUAGUAGGUGGGGUAAUGGCUCACCUAGGCGACGAUCCCUAGCUGGUCUGAGAGGAUGACCANNNANACUGGAACUGAGACACGGUCCAGACUCCUACGGGAGGCAGCAGUGGGGAAUAUUGCACAAUGGGCGCAAGCCUGAUGCAGCCAUGCCGCGUGUGUGAAGAAGGCCUUCGGGUUGUAAAGCACUUUCAGCGAGGAGGAAGGUGGUGAGCUUAAUACGCUCAUCAAUUGA